AUUAGCGCUCUGUUCUGGGGACAGCAG
RNAcentral lists this non-coding RNA (27 nucleotides) under Cricetulus griseus (Chinese hamster). Lineage: Eukaryota; Metazoa; Chordata; Mammalia; Rodentia; Cricetidae. The record is from RNAcentral.